Otolemur garnettii (small-eared galago) is the source of this 104-nucleotide small nucleolar RNA. The record is from Ensembl. NCBI's taxonomy places the organism in Eukaryota, Metazoa, Chordata, Mammalia, Primates, Galagidae.
AUCCAUUUGUAGUUCAUAAGCGGGAUGAUUGAGUUUUCACGUUCAUGCAAGAGAUGUGCCUCCUACAAAUCUUGUUAUGAUGUCAGCACAUUACCCGUCUAACA